This 373-nucleotide ribosomal RNA is filed under the name uncultured Glomeromycotina. RNAcentral describes it as "SSU rRNA". It matches the Rfam family "Eukaryotic small subunit ribosomal RNA", at positions 722 to 1092 of the family's 1831-position model. The record is from RNAcentral. Lineage: Eukaryota; Fungi; Glomeromycota.
UUUAUUUGGUGUCAUGGGGAAUCAGGACUGUUACUUUGAAAAAAUUAGAGUCGUUUAAAGCAGGCUCACGCUUGAAUACAUUAGCAUGGAAUAAUGAAAUAGGACGUUUGAUUCUAUUUUGUUGGUUUCUAAGAUCGACGUAAUGAUUAAUAGGGAUAGUUGGGGGCAUUAGUAUUCAAUUGUCAGAGGUGAAAUUCUUGGAUUUAUUGAAGACUAACUACUGCGAAAGCAUUUGCCAAGGAUGUUUUCAUUAAUCAAGAACGAAAGUUAGGGGAUCGAAGACGAUCAGAUACCGUCGUAGUCUUAACCAUAAACUAUGCCGACUAGGGAUCGGAUGAUGUUAAUUUUUUAAUGACUCAUUCGGCGCCUUACG